CCUACGGGUGGCUGCAGUGGGGAAUAUUGGACAAUGGGGGCAACCCUGAUCCAGCCAUGCCGCGUGUGUGAAGAAGGCCCUCGGGUUGUAAAGCACUUUCAGUGAGGAAGAACGCCUGGUGGUUAAUACCCAUCAGGAAAGACAUCACUCACAGAAGAAGCACCGGCUAACUCCGUGCCAGCAGCCGCGGUAAUACGGAGGGUGCGAGCGUUAAUCGGAAUUACUGGGCGUAAAGCGCGCGUAGGUGGCUUGAUAAGCCGGUUGUGAAAGCCCCGGGCUCAACCUGGGAACGGCAUCCGGAACUGUCAAGCUAGAGUGCAGGAGAGGAAGGUAGAAUUCCCGGUGUAGCGGUGAAAUGCGUAGAGAUCGGGAGGAAUACCAGUGGCGAAGGCGGCCCUCUGGACUGACACUGACACUGAGGUGCGAAAGCGUGGGUAGCAAACAGGAUUAGAUACCCUGGUAGUC
This 465-nucleotide ribosomal RNA is filed under the name Vreelandella stevensii. RNAcentral's name for it is "partial 16S ribosomal RNA". It matches the Rfam family "Bacterial small subunit ribosomal RNA", at positions 338 to 795 of the family's 1533-position model. Lineage: Bacteria; Pseudomonadati; Pseudomonadota; Gammaproteobacteria; Oceanospirillales; Halomonadaceae. The record is from RNAcentral.